Molecule: long non-coding RNA, 1132 nt
Organism: Gasterosteus aculeatus aculeatus (three-spined stickleback)
Lineage: Eukaryota; Metazoa; Chordata; Actinopteri; Perciformes; Gasterosteidae
Source: Ensembl
GAUGGACCCGAUUCAUUCACAUUAUGGUUCCGGACUCUUCCUGGUGUGUUGCUCACACAGGCAGUGCAGCGUCUUGACUCAGCUGGAUUCCCAUCCCAGAAUCCCUUCCGGUGUCCUGCUGUCCAGGGUCUCUCUCCCCCAUCAUAUUGCCUCUCUGUCUUUCCUUUACCUUCUAUCCACUCUGUCUAAACAUUGGUGCCUCAAGCUUUCCUGUCAAAUCUACCGCUCUGUCUUUGCAUUUGGAAAUUCAUUCUUUGUGUCCCCCUCUAUCCCACUCUGAUCUGUGAUGAAACUUUGAAACAUUUCUGAAAAACCUUGAGGAACCUGAUUCUGCACCAAAACCUGGAACCCUGACUAAUAACCAAAUUGAUUUGGUUUUGCUAUGGUUACAAGUACCUGUCUGUUGAUGAAUACUCUGAGAGUCUCUCGCGCUCUCUGUCUCUCCUCUGAUCACUCACCUUGACUCGGGUUAUUGGUACCUGAUCUAUCUUUUUUGGACAAUCUGAGAGAUUCUCUUCUCUCACGCUCACCUCUUUCAAUCUCCUAUCUACAACACAUACACCUAUCUGUAGACAACUAUUACUGCUUUUACAAAUUGGAGAAAACAUUUGAUAUAUUUUUCUUUUGAGAUUAUAAACUGUAAAGAAACCGUACAACGUCCACAAUCUUUGGUUGUAAUUGACAACGGUUACACAUUUUAUACUUAAGAAUUUAAUCUGGUGAUUUUCAAAAUAUAUAAUUUCUUAUAAAAGGUGCAUAAUUCACAAGACGUGUACUCUUAAUACACAAAAAUACAUUGGAGUGAAAAUCCAUAUUAGAGAAGAGUUUUUAGUUGCUGUGGACUCCGUUGGUUUGUUUUGCUAGCUGACACCUUUACACUGUUAACUUGACUAGUCUACAUACAAAUAAAAAGAAUUUCACUAUUAUUAAUAAUUAUUUAGUGUGUUAAGUAUUUUUUUCAUGUAAACUUACAUUGUUUCAAUCAUUCAGUCUAUGCAUUUUGAUGUCUAACAUCCUGAAAUAAAAUACAAGCAUCUAUAAGGAGGAAAAGGAUUUAUUUGGAAUUGCUGCUUCCUGUCUACAGACCCAACAUUCUUCAGAAGGAUUCAGCUGCCACGACAACUGUUCCCGA